ACCUUCGAGGUGUAGUGGUCAGCACGCUCGACGCGUAACCGAGAGGUCCGUGGUUCGAUUCCCGGCGAAGGCG
Molecule: transfer RNA, 73 nt
Filed under: Stegodyphus mimosarum
Lineage: Eukaryota; Metazoa; Arthropoda; Arachnida; Araneae; Eresidae
Rfam family: tRNA
About the family: Transfer RNA (tRNA) molecules are approximately 80 nucleotides in length.
Source: Rfam by way of RNAcentral